ACAGGUGCUGCAUGGCUGUCGUCAGCUCGUGUCGUGAGAUGUGGGUUAAGUCCCGCAACGAGCGCAACCUUGUCAUUAGUUGCUACAUUCCAGUUGGGCACUCUAAUGAGACUGCCGGUGACAAGCCGGAGGAAGUGGGGAUGACGUCAAGUCCUCAUGGCCCUUAUAGGUGGGGCUACACACGUCAUACAAUGGCUGGUACAAAGGGUUGCCAACCCGCGAGGGGGAGCCAAUCCCAUAAAGCCAGUCGUAGUCCGGAUCGUAGUCUGCAACUCGACUACGUGAAGUCGGAAUCGCUAGUAAUCGUGGAUCAGAAUGUCACGGUGAAUACGUUCCCGGGUCUU
RNAcentral lists this ribosomal RNA (344 nucleotides) under uncultured Rhodoferax sp. RNAcentral's name for it is "bacterial SSU rRNA". It matches the Rfam family "Bacterial small subunit ribosomal RNA", at positions 1034 to 1382 of the family's 1533-position model. The record is from RNAcentral. Lineage: Bacteria; Pseudomonadati; Pseudomonadota; Betaproteobacteria; Burkholderiales; Comamonadaceae.